RNAcentral lists this ribosomal RNA (723 nucleotides) under uncultured bacterium. RNAcentral describes it as "bacterial SSU rRNA". It matches the Rfam family "Bacterial small subunit ribosomal RNA", at positions 33 to 751 of the family's 1533-position model. The record is from RNAcentral.
ACGCUGGCGGCAGGCCUAACACAUGCAAGUCGAGCGGUAGAGAGAAGCUUGCUUCUCUUGAGAGCGGCGGACGGGUGAGUAAUGCCUAGGAAUCUGCCUGGUAGUGGGGGAUAACGUUCGGAAACGGACGCUAAUACCGCAUACGUCCUACGGGAGAAAGCAGGGGACCUUCGGGCCUUGCGCUAUCAGAUGAGCCUAGGUCGGAUUAGCUAGUUGGUGAGGUAAUGGCUCACCAAGGCGACGAUCCGUAACUGGUCUGAGAGGAUGAUCAGUCACACUGGAACUGAGACACGGUCCAGACUCCUACGGGAGGCAGCAGUGGGGAAUAUUGGACAAUGGGCGAAAGCCUGAUCCAGCCAUGCCGCGUGUGUGAAGAAGGUCUUCGGAUUGUAAAGCACUUUAAGUUGGGAGGAAGGGUUGUAGAUUAAUACUCUGCAAUUUUGACGUUACCGACAGAAUAAGCACCGGCUAACUCUGUGCCAGCAGCCGCGGUAAUACAGAGGGUGCAAGCGUUAAUCGGAAUUACUGGGCGUAAAGCGCGCGUAGGUGGUUUGUUAAGUUGGAUGUGAAAUCCCCGGGCUCAACCUGGGAACUGCAUUCAAAACUGACUGACUAGAGUAUGGUAGAGGGUGGUGGAAUUUCCUGUGUAGCGGUGAAAUGCGUAGAUAUAGGAAGGAACACCAGUGGCGAAGGCGACCACCUGGACUAAUACUGACACUGAGG